This is a non-coding RNA of Triticum aestivum (bread wheat), 135 nucleotides long. The record is from Rfam. Lineage: Eukaryota; Viridiplantae; Streptophyta; Magnoliopsida; Poales; Poaceae.
UAUAUACUCCCUCUGUUUCAAAUUACUUGUCUUGGAUUUGUCUAGAUACGGGCGUAUCUAGACUCAUUUUAGUGCUAGAUACCUCCGUAUCUAGACAAAUCUAAGACAAGUAAUUCGGAACGGAGGGAGUAUAAA